AAUUUAUUUUAUUAAUUUGUUUUUUUUUAUUUGGUUUUUUAUAAAAAUAAUUUAUUUAUUUAAAGUUUUAGUAUUUAUUAAAAAAUAAUUUUUAGAUUUAUAGUUUAAUAGUAUUGUAAAAGAAUUAAUUAAAUUUUUAAAAGAAUUAUAUUAGUACCUUUUGUAUCAGGGUUGAUUAAAAUUUUCAAUUUUUUUUUGAAUUCUCAAAAUUUAUAGAGUUAAUUUUAUUAUUAAUUUAUUGUGUUAUAAAUAUUUAUAAAAUAAUAUUAGUUUUGAAAUUUAAUUCGUUAUAUUAUAUUUAGUUAUUUAAGAUUUAAAUUUAAUUUAAAAUUUUAAAAGUUUUUUUAAUUUUAUUAAUUAAUAUUUUAAAUUUAAAGUAUUUUAGGGAUAAGCUUAAAAUUUUUAUAUAAUAAUUUAUUUAUUUAAUAAUUUAUAGGAAUAGAAAUUUUUAUUUAAGUUUGUAAAAAUUUAUUAUUAUUUAUUUUUAAUUUAUUAUAAUUUAUUUAUUUUUGGUAUUAAAUUUUAUUAAUUAAUAUCUAAUUAAUAGUAAUAAUGAUUAAAUUAGUAUAAUUUUUAUUUAUAAAUUAUGAAUUCGGCAAAAAUUAUUUUCAUCUGUUUAACAAAAACAUUGUAUUAAGAUUAAUUUAAUAUAGGAUCUGCUCAAUGAUUUAUUAAAUAGCUGCAGUAUUUUGACUGUGCAAAGGUAGCAUAAUAAUUAGUCUUUUAAUUGAGGACUUGUAUGAAAGAUUUGAUGAGAAAUAAACUUUAUUAUUUAUAUAAUUAAAAUUUUAUUUUUAAGUAAAAAAGCUUAAAUUAUUUAAAGGGACGAUAAGACCCUAUAAAACUUUAUAAAUUUUAAUUUUAAUUUUUUUGGAUUUAUAAAUAUUUUAUUUUUAAAAUUUAUUUUAUUGGGGUGAUAAAAAAAAUUAAUUAACUUUUUUUAAAAUUUAACAUUAUUUAAUGAAUUAUUGAAUUAAAAUUUUUAAUUAAAGGAAAAAGUUACUUUAGGGAUAACAGCGUAAUUAAUUUUUUAAGUUCAAAUUUAAAAAUUAGUUUGCGACCUCGAUGUUGAAUUAAGAUUAAUCUUAGGUGCAAAAUUUUAAGUAUUAGGUCUGUUCGACCUUUAAAUUCUUACAUGAUUUGAGUUCAAACCGGUGUAAGCCAGGUUGGUUUCUAUCUUUUAUAAAUUAAUUUAUUUUAGUACGAAAGGAUUAAAUAAUUAAAUUAAAUUUUUAUAAAUGAAUAAAAUUAAUUUA
RNAcentral lists this ribosomal RNA (1256 nucleotides) under Rhopalosiphum nymphaeae (water lily aphid). RNAcentral's name for it is "16S ribosomal RNA". Lineage: Eukaryota; Metazoa; Arthropoda; Insecta; Hemiptera; Aphididae. The record is from RNAcentral.